RNAcentral lists this ribosomal RNA (677 nucleotides) under uncultured Bacillota bacterium. RNAcentral's name for it is "bacterial SSU rRNA". It matches the Rfam family "Bacterial small subunit ribosomal RNA", at positions 239 to 916 of the family's 1533-position model. Lineage: Bacteria; Bacillati; Bacillota. The record is from RNAcentral.
CAUUAGGUAGUAGGCGGGGCAACGGCCCACCUAGCCUGCGAUGGAUAGGGGUUCUGAGAGGAAGGUCCCCCACAUUGGAGCUGAGACACGGUCCAAACUCCUACGGGAGGCAGCAGUGAGGAAUAUUGGUCAAUGGGCGAGAGCCUGAACCAGCCAAGUAGCGUGAAGGAUGAAGGUCCUACGGAUUGUAAACUUCUUUUAUACGGGAAUAAAGUUUCCUACGUGUAGGAUUUUGUAUGUACCGUAUGAAUAAGCAUCGGCUAACUCCGUGCCAGCAGCCGCGGUAAUACGGAGGAUGCGAGCGUUAUCCGGAUUUAUUGGGUUUAAAGGGAGCGCAGACGGGAGAUUAAGUCAGUUGUGAAAGUUUGCGGCUCAACCGUAAAAUUGCAGUUGAUACUGGUUUCCUUGAGUGCAGUUGAGGCAGGCGGAAUUCGUGGUGUAGCGGUGAAAUGCUUAGAUAUCACGAAGAACCCCGAUUGCGAAGGCAGCUUGCUAAACUGUAACUGACGUUCAUGCUCGAAAGUGUGGGUAUCAAACAGGAUUAGAUACCCUGGUAGUCCACACGGUAAACGAUGGAUACUCGCUAUUGGCGAUAUACUGUCAGCGGCCAAGCGAAAGCAUUAAGUAUCCCACCUGGGGAGUACGCCGGCAACGGUGCAACUCAAAGGAAUUGACGG